GAUGAACGCUGGCGGCGUGCCUAAUACAUGCAAGUCGAGCGAACAGACGAGGAGCUUGCUCCUCUGACGUUAGCGGCGGACGGGUGAGUAACACGUGGAUAACCUACCUAUAAGACUGGGAUAACUUCGGGAAACCGGAGCUAAUACCGGAUAAUAUAUUGAACCGCAUGGUUCAAUAGUGAAAGACGGUUUUGCUGUCACUUAUAGAUGGAUCCGCGCCGCAUUAGCUAGUUGGUAAGGUAACGGCUUACCAAGGCAACGAUGCGUAGCCGACCUGAGAGGGUGAUCGGCCACACUGGAACUGAGACACGGUCCAGACUCAUACGGGAGGCAGCAGUAGGGAAUCUUCCGCAAUGGGCGAAAGCUUGACGGAGCAACGCCGCGUGAGUGAUGAAGGUCUUCGGAUCGUAAAACUCUGUUAUUAGGGAAGAACAAAUGUGUAAGUAACUAUGCACGUCUUGACGGUACCUAAUCAGAAAGCCACGGCUAACUACGUG
RNAcentral lists this ribosomal RNA (497 nucleotides) under uncultured bacterium. RNAcentral describes it as "partial 16S ribosomal RNA". It matches the Rfam family "Bacterial small subunit ribosomal RNA", at positions 28 to 507 of the family's 1533-position model. The record is from RNAcentral.